This 522-nucleotide ribosomal RNA is filed under the name Bannereus anomalus. RNAcentral describes it as "partial small subunit ribosomal RNA". The record is from RNAcentral. Lineage: Eukaryota; Metazoa; Arthropoda; Malacostraca; Decapoda; Alpheidae.
UUGUAAUUUUAAAUUUUAUAUUUUUAUUAAGUUAAAGAGUGAAGUCUAAUAAAUGAGGUUGAAAUUAUAAAUGGUAAAGAAGGUGAUAAUGUGAUAAGAUUAAGUGAUAAAAUGGGAUUAGAUACCCUAUUAUAUUUUUUAUAAAUGUAGUUGUUCUUGAGUAGUAAAUAGUUAUGUGCUCGAAACUUAAAGAAUUUGGCGGUAUCUAAGCCCAGUCAGAGGAAUCUGUAUUUUAAACGAUAUACCACGAGUAUCUAGCUUUGUUUUGUAUGAUCAGUUUGUAUACCUCCAUUAUUAGAUAAUUUUAUAAAAAAUUUAUUGAAAUAGAAUAUCACUAGUAUAUUAGGUCAAGGUGCAGCUUAUAAUAAAGAUAGUUAUGGAUUACAAUAUUUAUAAAAAUAUUAUGAAUAAAGGCUGGAAGAAGUAAGUUUUUUGAAGGUGGAUUUGAGUGUAAUUAGUGAAUAUUUAUCACUAUUGAUAAAGGUUCUUAGAUAUGUACAUAUCGCCCGUCGUUCUCGCUUU